Molecule: long non-coding RNA, 256 nt
Organism: Arachis ipaensis
Lineage: Eukaryota; Viridiplantae; Streptophyta; Magnoliopsida; Fabales; Fabaceae
Source: RefSeq, a predicted model, not a curated record
AGGUUACCUUGGAAGAGACCAUCAAUAAAUUACAAAGUGAAAAUGAAAGGGAGAAGCAAAACCAGGCUAGUUUGGAAAUGAGAAUUGCACAAUUACAGAGUGAGAAUAGUUCCUUACUUGAAAAAGAGGUUGGUUUGGAAAUGAGAAUUGCACAGUUAGAGAGUGAGAAGAGUUCCUUGCUUCAAAAAGAGGUUGGAUUGGUGGAAGAAACCAAGUGGUUGCUGAGUGAAAAAGAAUUUUUGAGCCUUAAAGUGGU